AUUAAGCAUAUCAAUAAGCGGAGGAAAAGAAACCAACAGGGAUUGCCUUAGUAGCGGCGAGUGAAGCGGCAAGAGCUCAAAUUUGAAAUCUGGUACCUUCGGUGCCCGAGUUGUAAUUUGAAGAAGGUAUUCUUUAGUUUGGCCCCCGUCUAUGUUCCUUGGAACAGGACGUCAUAGAGGGUGAGAAUCCCGUGCGAUGGGGUGUCCAUUCUUUGUAAGAUUCCUUCGACGAGUCGAGUUGUUUGGGAAUGCAGCUCUAAGUGGGUGGUAAAUUCCAUCUAAAGCUAAAUAUUGGCGAGAGACCGAUAGCGAACAAGUACAGUGAUGGAAAGAUGAAAAGAACUUUGAAAAGAGAGUGAAAAAGUACGUGAAAUUGUUGAAAGGGAAGGGUAUUUGAUCAGACUUGGUAUUAGAAUAUGGUUUCUCCUUGUGGGUUUCCCUCUAUUCUUUUACUGGGCCAGCAUCGGUUCGGAUGGUAAGAUAAUUGCGAUUGAAUGUGGCUCUUCGGAGUGUUAUAGCUUUCGUCGAUAUUGCCUGUCUGGACCGAGGACUGCGUCUCUUGACUAGGAUGCUGGUGGAACGAUUAAAUACCGCCCGUCUG
RNAcentral lists this ribosomal RNA (601 nucleotides) under Kuraishia capsulata. RNAcentral describes it as "LSU rRNA". It matches the Rfam family "Eukaryotic large subunit ribosomal RNA", at positions 33 to 655 of the family's 3401-position model. Lineage: Eukaryota; Fungi; Ascomycota; Pichiomycetes; Pichiales; Pichiaceae. The record is from RNAcentral.